Molecule: unclassified non-coding RNA, 271 nt
Filed under: uncultured fungus
Lineage: Eukaryota; Fungi
Description: sequence contains ITS2
Source: RNAcentral
AACGCAUAUUGCACCUCUCUGGAGGUAUGCCUGUUUGAGAAUCUAUAGUAUCUUUUCCCCAGUUUGGGGGAGAUUUGGGGCGUCUCUUCUGAGUGCUCUUAAAGCUAUAGCUUGACACUGACCGGGUGCGAGAGCGUAUGUAUUUGAAACUCUUAGAGUACCCUAUACGAAACUCUGGCGCAAGCUCGGGCUGGGCCAAGUUCACCACGGAGGUUUGAAAAAGAACCCGAACCAUGGUCUCAAAUCAGGUAGGAGGACCCGCUGAACUUAA